GCAGAAGUGAAAGCUGUAGGUGAGAAAGCAGAAGCCUUCAUCACUUGUUACUUGAAGGCCUUGCCUUAGGACCAUCCGUAUCUGUUCAGUUCCGAGUGGAGCACACAGCCCUGUUGUUUUGGUUUGGGGUUUUUGACUGUUUUCUUACUGUCGCCAGGCUGUUAAGCCGUGCUGUCACCAACUCCGCAUCACCACAACGCCUCCGAUCUCUGCACUAAACUCCCGUGGGACACCAGGCCAACAAGUAGGCCAAACCCAGUAAAACUAAAUCAUCCACUGUCACCCUACGGAUUUCAAGGACAAAGUUUGCUUCCAUUUGUGCCCAGGAACCUGCAGUGACCUUUUAGAGGGAGAAAGGAAAGGUGGCACUUGGCCCAGAGCAAUCUCCUUUUAAGCUGCAUUCAAACAUCAAGACGAUGUAUAGAUACCACCGACAAAUCUAAAUACUCCUGAAACUCUGGACUGGCACGCUGAUCUCGUUUCCCAAACCGAUCUCAGAAGGCACACUGCUAAGAAAGCCCUGCACCCACCCAGCCUUGCCCUCCGCUCCCAGCUCAUGCUCUCCUCAGUCUGGGUCCAUUUUGAGAAGCAGCCGGCUCCAAGCAGCCCCCCUGCUUGGACUUCUCAAGCAACCGACGCUGUAGCAGCAACGCCGCAAGCCCUAAAGCCAUCCGAUCUCAAAAGGGAAGCGGAUUUAAUUCCAAAGCCAAACCGAUGACAUUCAUCUGCACGCUCUCGAACUCACACGUACCUGGAUUCAUGUGUCCGAGAAGCAGCACCCGAGCGCCAAGAUCACAGCGCCGCGGUCGGUCCAGGCCCGCUUGCGACGACGCUCGGGACGAGGAGCAGCAGCUACUGAGUCGUUUUGACUUCGGACCCUUCUCACAUUGGCAAUCGUGUGCCGACUGCGGACAGACCUCUUUGUAUCCUUCAGGACUUUGAAGGCCCGCUAAUCUUCAGCCUUCAGCACAUACCAUUCUCACAGCCCGUCUGUUGCUGUUUGUUCCCCCACACCCAGACAUUCCCACUCAUACCUAUCUUAACUACUACGAUUCUGCAACAUUUCGGUGACUACCAGUGGAACUGGAGAAACGACAACCCCCUGUGGAGCGAAGCACAGAAAGGGUUCGCCCACAGCAGAACUGUACGGUACUAUAAGGCAAGAACUGAACUGAUGGCGGCCAUGGCUCAUCAGCUGGUGGGUUUUGAUACUGGCUUCGCUAACGGCCUUUAAAUACGAUCGUAUGUGUGCUGUGUUCCCCUUCUGAAGGGAUUACUCGACGUCGAAACCAAACAAAACGCAGAACCCUCCUCUUCCUUACUCCCCACUUAACAUUUGUUAAAAACAAAGGAAGCGGACGUUAUGCAAACAGCCUGUUGGGUUUUCUCAUGCAACUGAUGAAAACAACAUCAAAAUGAAACGACGCUGCCUGGAAAUCACAGUGCCCCCUCCCACCCCUCCUGCAUUUCCAUCUUCUGGAGCUGUCUGAACAGUUGGAGCGCUGAACCUGCUGUGAACUGAGAAGCUGCAAGAGAGGGGGCAUAACCAACGUAACGCGUUUAUAAAAGACAAAGUGCAGAUCGUUAUCCAUUUGCUUCCAGUCUGGUAGGAUUGCAUUCUAAAGGGAACGUGGUUAAUUCAACGGUUGGAAAGGUAGAACUUAUUUUCUUCAGAUGGCUGCAACGUUUGAAGGCCUUUUGCUGUCCUCAGGAAACCGCAGGUUACUUCAGCAGCCUAAAAUAAAUAUGUGACCAGAUGAACAAAUUC
Long non-coding RNA from Gallus gallus (chicken), 1768 nucleotides. RefSeq lists it as uncharacterized. The transcript has 2 exons. Lineage: Eukaryota; Metazoa; Chordata; Aves; Galliformes; Phasianidae. The record is from RefSeq and is a predicted model, not a curated record.